Molecule: unclassified non-coding RNA, 188 nt
Filed under: Sporothrix sp.
Lineage: Eukaryota; Fungi; Ascomycota; Sordariomycetes; Ophiostomatales; Ophiostomataceae
Description: internal trancribed spacer 2
Source: RNAcentral
CCCCCCUCACGCGCCCCGUUGCGCGCUGGUGUUGGGGCUCCUCCGCCUGGCGGAGGGCCCCGAAAGCGAGUGGCGGGCCCGGCUGGUUGGCUCCGAGCGCAGUACUGGACGCAAGUUCUCUCCCCUCGCUCAGACGCCCCGCCGGCGCCCUGCCGUCAAAACGCGCAUGACGUGCAACUCUUACAAGG